GACGAACGCUGGCGGCGUGCUUAACACAUGCAAGUCGAACGGAAAGGCCCUGCUUGCAGGGUACUCGAGUGGCGAACGGGUGAGUAACACGUGGGUGAUCUGCCAUGCACUUCGGGAUAAGCCUGGGAAACGGGGUCUAAUACCGGAUAGGAGCCAUUUUUAGUGUGAUGGUUGGAAAGUUUUUUCGGUGUAGGAUGAGCUCGCGGCCUAUCAGCUUGUUGGUGGGGUAAUGGCCUACCAAGGCGGCGACGGGUAGCCGGCCUGUGAGGGUGGACGGCCACAUUGGGUCUGAGAUACGGCCCAGACGCCUACUGGUGGCAGCAGGGGGGAAUCUUGCACAAUGGGCGCCAGCCUGAUGCAGCGACGCCGCGUGGGGGAUGACGGCCUUCGGGUUGUAAACUCCUUUCGCUAGGGACGAAGCUUUUUGUGACGGUACCUAGAUAAGAAGCACCGGCUAACUACGUG
This 465-nucleotide ribosomal RNA is filed under the name uncultured bacterium. RNAcentral describes it as "partial 16S ribosomal RNA". It matches the Rfam family "Bacterial small subunit ribosomal RNA", at positions 28 to 507 of the family's 1533-position model. The record is from RNAcentral.